Ornithodoros turicata is the source of this 355-nucleotide long non-coding RNA. RefSeq lists it as uncharacterized. The record is from RefSeq and is a predicted model, not a curated record. Lineage: Eukaryota; Metazoa; Arthropoda; Arachnida; Ixodida; Argasidae. The transcript is spliced from 3 exons.
CUGCUUCCCUCUCAACGACAGGAAGUGGCACACAUGGCAGCGUCAUGGCCCUGCAUAUCCAUUGAAGGUGGGAGGCACUCCUGAUAUUUAUUCACAGGCACCUGGUUGGUAUCAUUGAGAACGAAGGGAGGCAGCAGGCAAAAAUCAAGAGGGCUACAUACAUAAAUGCGUGAGGCAGUGAAGGCAGCAGAUGAACAUAGCAAGAAGUGGGAACAUCUCAUGUGAUACAUAGCGGUCAAAUGUUCCGCCACCAAAGUCAUGCACAAGUUAUUUGUAGUCUUUCCAGUAAUUUCCAAAAUAAAGGGUUAUUAUUGAAAAGCUAUCCUCUCUGGACACACAAAACAUGAGAAUUGAA